CGACUCUGAAUCCAUUCAGCAUCAGUCAACUUGGGACUUCGAGGGUGCUAUUAUUCUUUUGUUUCUUUCUUUUGACUUUUCUUUCUUUUUGAUUCUUUUUUUUUCUUUUGAUUGAUUUUUUUUUACCCUCCUCUUUCCAUUUUUGUUUUUUGUUAAUGCCCUAGUUGGCUGUUAUGCUGAUUCUCGAGAUGCAGCUGAGUGAUCUUCUUUUCUUGCUCAAGAAAUCGGGAAAUACCGUCAGGAAUCCCUUCAACAUCAUCUUCUUCCGCUUCAAAUACAGGGAAUUCAAAAUUGGGAGAUGACGUCUGAUCAUUAUGUUCAAUGGGUUUAAGAAACAACCUGCAUAAUGAUUUUGAUAUGAAAAGCUUUUGAAAAU
RNAcentral lists this long non-coding RNA (376 nucleotides) under Lathyrus oleraceus (garden pea). RNAcentral's name for it is "Pisum sativum (pea) long non-coding RNA (PSAT_LNC023091)". The record is from RNAcentral. Lineage: Eukaryota; Viridiplantae; Streptophyta; Magnoliopsida; Fabales; Fabaceae.